CCGAGUUGUCCUCCGUGACACUCCCUUUAUACCCCUUGUGAACAUACCAUCGUUGCCUCGGUGGGCCGCGUCACAGCGCCCGCCGGUGGCCCAUUUCUACCAAAUUCUGUAUAUUUUUACUUGAUUCUGAACCUAUAACAAAUCAUGUUA
RNAcentral lists this unclassified non-coding RNA (150 nucleotides) under uncultured Xylariaceae. Its description in RNAcentral is "sequence contains ITS1". Lineage: Eukaryota; Fungi; Ascomycota; Sordariomycetes; Xylariales; Xylariaceae. The record is from RNAcentral.